Oryctolagus cuniculus (rabbit) is the source of this 194-nucleotide long non-coding RNA. It matches the Rfam family "Six3os1 conserved region 7". Lineage: Eukaryota; Metazoa; Chordata; Mammalia; Lagomorpha; Leporidae. The record is from Rfam.
UGGACCCGGCGCUGCGCCCCCAGAUCUGCAUCGGAAUGCAGAAAAGAUCUUAAAAAAAAAAAGUUUUGAAUUCCUCAAUGAUUUUUCUUCUGGAAAGGCAGCUUAGGAUAAUUAUUUCAGCUUUAUUGAGGGCAGAUUAGUUGAAGUCUGGGCCCUGCGUUUCAAUACGCGUUGUACACGGGCCCACAAUGUGA